Molecule: ribosomal RNA, 478 nt
Filed under: uncultured bacterium
Lineage: Bacteria
Description: bacterial SSU rRNA
Rfam family: Bacterial small subunit ribosomal RNA
Source: RNAcentral
GAAUUCAACUCCUACGGGAGGCAGCAGUGGGGAAUAUUGGUCAAUGGGCGCAAGCCUGAACCAGCCAUGCCGCGUGCAGGAAGACGGUCCUAUGGAUUGUAAACUGCUUUUAUACAGGAAGAAACGCCUCCACGUGUGGAGGCUUGACGGUACUGUAGGAAUAAGGAUCGGCUAACUCCGUGCCAGCAGCCGCGGUAAUACGGAGGAUCCAAGCGUUAUCCGGAAUCAUUGGGUUUAAAAGGUCCGUAGGCGGUCUUAUAAGUCAGUGGUGAAAGCCCAUCGCUCAACGAUGGAACUGCCAUUGAUACUGUAAGACUUGAAUGCUUAGGAAGUAACUAGAAUAUGUAGUGUGGCGGUGAAAUGCUUAGAUAUUACAUGGAAUACCAAUUGCGAAGGCAGGUUACUACUAAGUGAUUGACGCUGAUGGACGAAAGCGUGGGGAGCGAACAGGAUUAGAAACCCUAGUAGUCCAGGCGUU